AUGUGAUUCCCCUCCAACUCUGUCCAUUUUGCAUUUAUGCCAGUGAAAUAAGGAGCUAAUAUCUCUGAGCAAGCCCAGGGUAGGGUAACCAACCAUUCCAAUUGCCCAGGACUCAGGGAAUUCUAAGGCACAAGACUUUCAGCUUCAAAACUGGGAAAGUCCCAGAAUAAGAAUGGAGUCGAUCACUCUAGCACGAGACCUGGAACCACAGUAAUUCGAGUUUCAAAUUUUGGUUUUGAAACAUCUUCAGACAUCAUAUUUGUUUCUAUUUUAUGGACUGAGAAUUUCUGCUUUCCUUGGAGUGUAAACACAGCUGGCUGGCUCUUGCUAGCAUUUAACUCAUCAGCUGACUUGUGUAGCAGACGGGGUUUCUUCAUCACAAAAGGUUUUAGAUGUGAGAGUCCAAGCCUGAUGAUCAGCAAAUCUCAGAGGACUAACAAAGACGGUGUAUAGGAUAUUCAUCUUCUCGGACGACAAGAAAGGCAGUUGAAACAUCUUGGGGGGCUUAUAUUUCUACUUUCUCCUGCAGUUCAUUUUGAUGUCAUUAAAUAUUAAUUUACCUUGAAUACUUCCUCCUCCAGCAACCGCCCCAUCUCUCUCCGCUUCUUUCCAACAAAACGCCUCCAUGCAGGGAU
This is a long non-coding RNA of Canis lupus familiaris (dog), 635 nucleotides long. RefSeq lists it as uncharacterized. The transcript has 3 exons. The record is from RefSeq and is a predicted model, not a curated record. NCBI's taxonomy places the organism in Eukaryota, Metazoa, Chordata, Mammalia, Carnivora, Canidae.